Molecule: ribosomal RNA, 1548 nt
Filed under: Acinetobacter baumannii
Lineage: Bacteria; Pseudomonadati; Pseudomonadota; Gammaproteobacteria; Moraxellales; Moraxellaceae
Description: partial 23S ribosomal RNA
Rfam family: Bacterial large subunit ribosomal RNA
Source: RNAcentral
CGAAUGCUGACGUGAGUAACGACAAAACGGGUGAAAAACCCGUUCGCCGAAAGACCAAGGGUUCCAGUCCAACGUUAAUCGGGGCUGGGUGAGUCGACCCCUAAGGCGAGGCCGAAAGGCGUAGUCGAUGGGAAAAUGGUUAAUAUUCCAUUACUUCUGUGUAAUGCGAUGAGAGGACGGAGAAGGCUAAAUCAGCCUGGCGUUGGUUGUCCAGGUGAAAGGAUGUAGGCAUGUAUCUUAGGCAAAUCCGGGGUACUCUAUGCUGAGAUCUGAUAGCAAGCUGUACUUGUACAGCGAAGUGGUUGAUGCCAUGCUUCCAGGAAAAGUCUCUAAGCUUCAGUUACACAGGAAUCGUACCCGAAACCGACACAGGUGGUCAGGUCGAGUAGACCAAGGCGCUUGAGAGAACUCUGCUGAAGGAACUAGGCAAAAUGGUACCGUAACUUCGGGAGAAGGUACGCUGUUGUUGGUGAUGGAACUCGCUUCCUGAGCUGACGACAGCCGCAGAAACCAGGCCGCUGCAACUGUUUAUUAAAAACAUAGCACUCUGCAAACACGAAAGUGGACGUAUAGGGUGUGAUGCCUGCCCGGUGCUGGAAGGUUAAUUGAUGGGGUUAGCGUAAGCGAAGCUCUUGAUCGAAGCCCCAGUAAACGGCGGCCGUAACUAUAACGGUCCUAAGGUAGCGAAAUUCCUUGUCGGGUAAGUUCCGACCUGCACGAAUGGCAUAAUGAUGGCGGCGCUGUCUCCAGCAGAGGCUCAGUGAAAUCGAAAUCGCUGUGAAGAUGCAGUGUACCCGCGGCUAGACGGAAAGACCCCGUGAACCUUUACUGCAGCUUGACACUGAACUUUGACCUUACUUGUGUAGGAUAGGUGGGAGGCUUUGAAGCUGGAACGCUAGUUCCAGUGGAGCCGUCCUUGAAAUACCACCCUGGUAAUGUUGAGGUUCUAACUCUGUCCCGUGAUCCGGGACGAGGACCGUGUCUGGUGGGUAGUUUGACUGGGGCGGUCUCCUCCUAAAGAGUAACGGAGGAGUACGAAGGUGCGCUCAGCGUGGUCGGAAAUCACGCGUAGAGUAUAAAGGCAAAAGCGCGCUUAACUGCGAGACCCACAAGUCGAGCAGGUACGAAAGUAGGUCUUAGUGAUCCGGUGGUUCUGUAUGGAAGGGCCAUCGCUCAACGGAUAAAAGGUACUCUGGGGAUAACAGGCUGAUACCGCCCAAGAGUUCAUAUCGACGGCGGUGUUUGGCACCUCGAUGUCGGCUCAUCUCAUCCUGGGGCUGAAGCAGGUCCCAAGGGUAUGGCUGUUCGCCAUUUAAAGAGGUACGCGAGCUGGGUUUAGAACGUCGUGAGACAGUUCGGUCCCUAUCUACCGUGGGCGCUGGAAAUUUGAGAGGAUCUGCUCCUAGUACGAGAGGACCAGAGUGGACGAACCUCUGGUGUACCGGUUGUGACGCCAGUCGCAUCGCCGGGUAGCUAUGUUCGGAAGGGAUAACCGCUGAAAGCAUCUAAGCGGGAAGCCUACCUCAAGAUAAGAUUUCCCUAGGACUU